RNAcentral lists this long non-coding RNA (234 nucleotides) under Hordeum vulgare. Its description in RNAcentral is "long non-coding RNA (HVUL_LNC018167)". Lineage: Eukaryota; Viridiplantae; Streptophyta; Magnoliopsida; Poales; Poaceae. The record is from RNAcentral.
CCAAAAGUAAUGUCUCAAAUCAAAGAAGAAUUUCUUCUUUUGCUGGUAUGUGAAACUAGGUGGUAUAUAUUUGGCAACGAUAUAAUUUGCAUAAUCAGCAUACCAUGGUGCACUACGUGAAGUAUUGAUGACAUUCAGUUGCUCAUCAGGAAAGCUAUCAUCAAUAGGUUGUGGGUCAUCAAGAACAUUCUCCAACCUAGACAAGUUAUCUGCUACUGGGUUCUCAGCACCCUU